RNAcentral lists this ribosomal RNA (440 nucleotides) under uncultured bacterium. Its description in RNAcentral is "partial 16S ribosomal RNA". It matches the Rfam family "Bacterial small subunit ribosomal RNA", at positions 339 to 795 of the family's 1533-position model. The record is from RNAcentral.
CUACGGGCUGCUCCAGUCGAGAAUCUUCGGCAAUGGACGAAAGUCUGACCGAGCGACGCCGCGUGCGGGAUGAAGGCCUUCGGGUUGUAAACCGCUGUCAGAGGGAAGGAAAUUUUGACCGAUCCUCAAAGGAAGUACGGGCUAAGUUCGUGCCAGCAGCCGCGGUAAGACGAACCGUACAAACGUUAUUCGGAAUCACUGGGCUUAAAGGGUGCGUAGGUGGUCUAUUAAGUUGGGUGUGAAAUCCCUCGGCUCAACCGAGGAACUGCGCUCAAUACUGGUAGACUUGAGGGAGAUAGAGGUGAGCGGAACUGAUGGUGGAGCGGUGAAAUGCGUUGAUAUCAUCGGGAACACCUGUGGCGAAAGCGGCUCACUGGAUCUCUUCUGACACUGAGGCACGAAAGCUAGGGGAGCGAACGGGAUUAGAUACCCGAGUAGUC